CUUUGUUGUAGCUUAAAAAGUACGAAUUAUAAAGCUUGGCCUUGAAGCUGCCACGAUGGACCCCGUCCCAACAAAG
This 76-nucleotide transfer RNA is filed under the name Pristurus rupestris rupestris. RNAcentral's name for it is "tRNA-Phe". The record is from RNAcentral. Lineage: Eukaryota; Metazoa; Chordata; Lepidosauria; Squamata; Sphaerodactylidae.